UGGUGCAUGGUUGUCGUCAGCUCGUGUCGUGAGAUGUUGGGUUAAGUCCCGCAACGAGCGCAACCCUUAUUGUUAGUUGCUACGCAAGAGCACUCUAGCAAGACUGCCGUUGACAAAACGGAGGAAGGUGGGGAUGACGUCAAAUCAUCAUGCCCUUUAUGACCUGGGCUACACACGUACUACAAUGGCGGCGAACAGAGGGGAGCAAAGAGGUGACUCAGAGCAAAUCCCAAAAAGCCGUCUCAGUUCAGAUUGCAGGCUGCAACUCGCCUGCAUGAAGACGGAAUUGCUAGUAAUCGCGAAUCAGCAUGUCGCGGUGAAUACGUUCCCGGGCCUUGUACACACCGCCCGUCAAACCAUGAGAGUUGGGAAUACCCGAAGUCUGUAAUCUAACCGCAAGGAGGAUGCAGCCGAAGGUAGGCUCAAUGAUUGGGGUUAAGUCGUAACAAGGUAGCCGUAUCGGAAGGUGCGGCUGGAUCACCUC
This 484-nucleotide ribosomal RNA is filed under the name uncultured bacterium. Its description in RNAcentral is "bacterial SSU rRNA". It matches the Rfam family "Bacterial small subunit ribosomal RNA", at positions 1039 to 1529 of the family's 1533-position model. The record is from RNAcentral.